Molecule: long non-coding RNA, 2708 nt
Organism: Hipposideros armiger (great roundleaf bat)
Lineage: Eukaryota; Metazoa; Chordata; Mammalia; Chiroptera; Hipposideridae
Exons: 2
Source: RefSeq, a predicted model, not a curated record
UGUGUGACACACUUCAGGGCCUGGUGUGCCCAGGAAUUUGUUUCAGGAAACUGUGACUGAGGUCCCUUGGAGGGACUGGGAGGGGGAACGCUGGGCCUGCAGCACGAGCACCAGGGAUGGGUGGGACAUCUUACACAAACGCUGUAGCCGCGGCACCGAGUGGGUGGAGGGACUGUUCUUCUGGCAGUGUGAGGCAAUGUGCAAAUUUAACCUUUGGGUUUAUGACUCUAUUUCUUUGCAGCAAAUGUCACGGGAAAUGUCAGGCUGAGGCUGAAGCCGGUGAGGGGCCCAUCGAGCCAGCAGGUGGAGUGCCGAGGGGCUCAGGCCAAGGCAGGGCUCCGAGACCCUCACCUCCUCCCGGGAGUACUCUCGGAUUGCCCGUUGCUUGCCUGGGCCCAGUGCUGUGUCCUCGGUCUGUCCCAUUGUGACCUUGUUGAGAUGUUGCUUUUAUUCACUUACUGCCAGAGCCCAGAUGGGGCAGGCUCAGGGACCUGCCAGCAGUCUCCCCUCCAAGUCUGGGCAGCCGUUGGAUUAGCCUGUGCAGUGCCGUCUUGCUGUGUGACCUUGGGCAGCACCUGCCCUUUCCUGGUCACCAGAGGCCUCAUCCGUAAUCCAUGGCUGUUGACCAGAGGUGGUGUCCCCAGCUCAUUGCCUUUGUGGGUGGGAAAACACUCCAAGCCCGAGGCAUGUGGGAUACUGGGCUCUGGGGGAGGUGGGUAGGGCCUGUGUGCAGGGCCAGCGGGGGUGGGUGGCUGGCUUAUGGCAUCCUGUGGCAGCUUCAGGCACACAGUAGGUACAUCCAGCCCAGCCACCAGGGCGCAGGGAGCCAAGACUGUGUGCAGGCAUCUGCCUCAUAGUUAGUUCUCUUUGCACCAGCCUCAUGCUGCAGUGUGAGGGAUGGCACAUGUUCCUACCUGGUCUUCGGGCAGGGUGGGGUCUGGGCAGCAGGAGGGUGGCCCACCUACCCCACCUUCCCAGAAGCACCUCCUAGCCCCAAAGAUGUGACUGGAAGCAGAAUUCCAGAGAAAGGCCAAUCCUGGUCAGCCACCAGGACAUGCUGGUUGUUGCAUCAGAGCAACCUCAGGAGAGCUGUGGGGCCCAAGGUCACACAGGAGACUCCAGACUCAGCUCUCCCACCUGCCUCCACAGCGCACCUGGCCAGGAACCUGGGAGUGGCCCUAGUGCCCACCCCACCUUUCCCAGAGCCCUGCCAAGUUCCCUCCCCCACGCUCUCCAUUGUUUGCCCUGGUUGAGGCUUUUUUGCUCUUCCAGGACACAUUCAGCCAAACCCUCGUCCUCAAAGAACAUAGAACUGGCCUGUCACACCCCUGCUAGCCACUGGGACCUCCCGAGGGAUGAGGCGCUGUGAAGUGGUAGCUGGUGAGCCUGGCAGGGACUAGGCUGUUCCGUCUCCUGGGGGACCAAACCCAAGACACCUGGGGACAUCUAAAAAAGCAGCAGGAUUUUCACUGUCCCCCUGGUACAGUAGGCAUCCCUCACCCCACCACAUGGUUGGCCUUCCCCAUAUGGUAGGAACUGAUGGGGGGGGGGCGGUGAGGGAGACCCUGGGACUGUGAUUCCUGAGUAUGGCCUGGCAGGUAACCCCUCCCCGCAUCGUCCCCUGGGGAGGACCCUGCCCACACUUGGUGGGAUUAGCCAGGUACCAAGAUGUACACUCAGGGCGGAGUACUGGACAGGUCCCGGAAGAUCCCUUGCUUCUCUCUCCAUUCUCUUGGCAAGUGCUUUCUAGCAUUAUUUUAAGACACCUUCUGUCCCCAAGGUCCCCCAGGUCCCAGGAAGGCACCCCAAAGCCCACAAAGUCCCCAGAAGGUAGAAGUGCUAUGUGGGUGCCAGCAGGAUGGUGAGGACCUUGAGGCCUGGGUCCACCCCCCUGGGCCCCCACUGAGGUCACAUAGGCCCUAGGUCUUAGAGAGGUGCUGGAACUGCUGGCUGAGGUAGACGGGGCUCCUGGACGGAGCAGAAGCUGGGACAGCCCAUUGCGUGGGGCUCGGUGGCUGCGUUCUCUGGGGUGUGACCAGGCUGGCCCUGUGCUUGGGGAGGAGGGAGAUGGGGGUGAGGUGAAGAGCUUGUGGGGGCCAAGAGGAGAGCAGAGGGAGGGGUUGGGGAUAUUGGGCCAGAAGGAUGGGGUGGAAGCUGCCUCCACCCCACCCGAGCUGGAGGCCAGCCCACUGCUCUCUGUGCUACUGGCUAUGUGACACGUGGCCCCUGCACACCAGCCUUGUCCAGGCUGUCUUUUAUCUCCCUGCCUCAGCCCCAAUUUAUGUCAGGCAGAGGCUGACACUGGGACAGGUGUGACAAGUGUUUGGCUUCCUGUUUGAAAAUGGGCAAAAGAAAAACUCUUCCCAUAAAGAUAUUCCAUCUACAUACCUCCUGGAUGUCACCUAGAGGACCUGUCACGGCCAAGACAGAUGGUGGCCCUGAUGGACUCCACUCUUCGACCUGCUGCCUGAACCUCGACUUGUCCCCCAGGGUGGCCCAAGGUGAGGGAAUGGUCCCGAGGUUGGGAGACCUGCCUGAGGCCCCACUGAGGCACAGCCAGUGCCCAAAGCCCUGGGCCAGGACCCCACGGCUCGAGGCUCUUUGGAAGGGGAUCCCGCUCCCGGAGAAUGGCCUCACCCACCCUUUCCAGUACAGAGCUGCCCCAUCCAGUGUCGGCACACGAGACCAAAUAAAAUGAACUAAAAACA